CGAGUACGACCCGUUACGACGGGGAAGUGUCUGAUGUCAGGCUUCCAAGAAAAGCCCGAACCACGUUAAUUCAAAUUGGCCCGUACCCUAAACCGACACAGGUGGGAAGGUAGAGUAUACCCAGGGGCGCGAGAUAACUCUCUCUAAGGAACUCGGCAAAAUGGCCCCGUAACUUCGGGAGAAGGGGUGCCACCGAGAGGUGGUCGCAGUGAAGAGUCCCAGGCGACUGUUUACCAAAAACACAGGUCUCCGCUAAGUCGCAAGACGAUGUAUGGGGGCUGACGCCUGCCCAGUGCCGGAAGGUUAAGGAAGUUGGUCAGGGAGCAAUCCUGAAGCUAGCGACUGAAGCCCCGGUGAACGGCGGCCGUAACUAUAACGGUCCUAAGGUAGCGAAAUUCCUUGUCGGGUAAGUUCCGACCCGCACGAAAGGCGUAACGAUCAGGGAGCUGUCUCGGAGAGAGGCUCGGCGAAAUAGGAAUGUCUGUGAAGAUACGGACUACCUGCACCCGGACAGAAAGACCCUAUGAAGCUUUACUGUAGCUUGGUAUUGGGUUCGGGCUUUGAUUGCGCAGGAUAGGUGGGAGACUAUGAGAUAGCUCUUGUGGGAGUUAUGGAGUCACUGGUGAGAUACCACUCUAUCAAGGCUAGAAUUCUAACUUUGACCCGUUAUCCGGGCAGAGAACAGUAUCAGGUGGGCAGUUUGACUGGGGCGGUCGCCUCCUAAAUGGUAACGGAGGCGCGCAAAGGUUCCCUCAGGCUGGUUGGAAAUCAGCCAUUGAGUGUAAAGGCAUAAGGGAGCUUGACUGCGAGACUGACAAGUCGAGCAGGUACGAAAGUAGGCCUUAGUGAUCCGACGGUUCCGCGUGGAAGGGCCGUCGCUCAACGGAUAAAAGUUACUCUAGGAUAACAGGCUGAUCUCCCCCAAGAGUUCACAUCGACGGGGAGGUUUGGCACCUCGAUGUCGGCUCAUCGCAACCUGGGGCUGUAGUCGGUCCCAAGGGUUGGGCUGUUCGCCCAUUAAAGCGGUACGUGAGCUGGGUUCAGAACGUCGUGAGACAGUUCGGUCCAUACCCGGUGCAGGCGUAGGAACAUUGAGAGGAGUCUUCCUUAGUACGAGAGGACCGGGAAGAACGCACCGCUGGUGUACCUGUUAUCGUGCCAACGGUAAACGCAGGGUAGCCAGUGCGGAGAGGAUAACCGCUGAAAGCAUCUAAGUGGGAAGCCCACCUCAAGAUGAGUGUUCCCAUGGCAAAAGCCAGUAAGGUCACGGGUAGACCACCCGUUAAUAGGCGCUAGAUGGAAGUCCAGCAAUGGAUGUAGUCGAGGCGUACUAACAGACC
This 1340-nucleotide ribosomal RNA is filed under the name metagenome. RNAcentral describes it as "bacterial LSU rRNA". It matches the Rfam family "Bacterial large subunit ribosomal RNA", at positions 1564 to 2910 of the family's 2925-position model. The record is from RNAcentral.